Long non-coding RNA from Corticium candelabrum, 204 nucleotides. RefSeq lists it as uncharacterized. The transcript has 3 exons. The record is from RefSeq and is a predicted model, not a curated record. NCBI's taxonomy places the organism in Eukaryota, Metazoa, Porifera, Homoscleromorpha, Homosclerophorida, Plakinidae.
GAAAAAUGGGUCUCCAUUAGAGAUUGCCAGGCUAUUUAGUCACAGUGAUAUGGUUGAGAUGAUGGAAGAAGCCAUAAGAUUGAGAUCUCAUCCUUAUGUGAAUAGAGAUGUGUCUAUCAUGAGACAUCAAGACCAACAGACAAUUGCUGAACUGCAGAGUGAAGUGGAGAAGAUGAAAGAAGAAUUAAGACAAUCAUCCCUGGU